GGACCCGCACAAGCGGUGGAGCAUGUGGUUUAAUUCGAUGCAACGCGAAGAACCUUACCAGGGUUUGACAUCCUGCGAAUCUCUUGGAAACAGGAGAGUGCCUUCGGGAACGCAGUGACAGGUGGUGCAUGGCUGUCGUCAGCUCGUGUCGUGAGAUGUUGGUUAAGUCCCGCAACGAGCGCAACCCACGUCUUUAGUUGCCAGCAUUUAGUUGGGCACUCUAGAGAGACUGCCGGUGAUAAGCCGGAGGAAGGUGGGGAUGACGUCAAGUCCUCAUGGCCUUUAUGUCCAGGGCUACACACGUGUUACAAUGGGGGGCUGACAAAGAGUUGCCAAGCUGCGAAGCUGCGCAAA
Molecule: ribosomal RNA, 354 nt
Filed under: uncultured bacterium
Lineage: Bacteria
Description: bacterial SSU rRNA
Rfam family: Bacterial small subunit ribosomal RNA
Source: RNAcentral